UACAGAGGGUGCGAGCGUUGUCCGGAAUUACUGGGCGUAAAGGGCCCGUAGGCGGCCAACUAAGUCACACGUGAAAUCCCCAGGCUUAACCUGGGAACUGCGUGUGAUACUGGAUGGCUUGAAUUCGGGAGAGGGAUGCAGAAUUCCAGGUGUAGCGGUGAAAUGCGUAGAUAUCUGGAGGAAUACCGGUGGCGAAGGCGGCAUCCUGGACCGACAUUGACGCUGAACGGCGAAAGCUAGGGGAGCAAACGGG
This 253-nucleotide ribosomal RNA is filed under the name uncultured bacterium. RNAcentral describes it as "partial 16S ribosomal RNA". It matches the Rfam family "Bacterial small subunit ribosomal RNA", at positions 524 to 776 of the family's 1533-position model. The record is from RNAcentral.